UGGGGAAUCUUCCGCAAUGGACGAAAGUCUGACGGAGCAACGCCGCGUGAGUGAAGAAGGUUUUCGGAUCGUAAAACUCUGUCUUUUGGGGCGAACUGAGUAUGGUGAACAAUCAUAGUCAGUGACGGUACCAAAGGAGGAAGCCACGGCUAACUACGUGCCAGCAGCCGCGGUAAUACGUAGGUGGCAAGCGUUGUCCGGAAUUAUUGGGCGUAAAGAGCGCGUAGGCGGGAUAGUCAGUCUGUUGUAAAGUGCGGGGCUCAACCCCGUGAUGGCAAUGGAAACAGCUAUUCUUGAGUGCAGGAGAGGAAAGUGGAAUUCCCAGUGUAGCGGUGAAAUGCGUAGAUAUUGGGAGGAACACCAGUGGCGAAGGCGACUUUCUGGACUGUGUCUGACGCUGAGGCGCGAAAGCCAGGGGGAGCGAACGGGAUUUAGAUACCCCCGGUAGUCCUGGGCCGUAAACGAUGGGUACUAGGUGUGGGAGGUAUCGACCCCCUUCCGUGCCGGAGUUAACGCAAUAAGUACCCCCGCCUGGGGAGUACGGUCGCAAGACUGAAACUCAAAGGAAUUGACGGGGUCAUAGCUGUUUCCUG
RNAcentral lists this ribosomal RNA (593 nucleotides) under uncultured bacterium. RNAcentral describes it as "partial 16S ribosomal RNA". It matches the Rfam family "Bacterial small subunit ribosomal RNA", at positions 355 to 1376 of the family's 1533-position model. The record is from RNAcentral.